Molecule: ribosomal RNA, 254 nt
Filed under: uncultured bacterium
Lineage: Bacteria
Description: partial 16S ribosomal RNA
Rfam family: Bacterial small subunit ribosomal RNA
Source: RNAcentral
UACGAAGGGGGCUAGCGUUGCUCGGAAUCACUGGGCGUAAAGCGCACGUAGGCGGGCUCUUAAGUCGGUGGUGAAAUCCUGGAGCUCAACUCCAGAACUGCCUCCGAUACUGAGAGUCUUCGAGUCCGGGAGAGGUGAGUGGAACUGCGAGUGUAGAGGUGAAAUUCGUAGAUAUUCGCAAGUACACCAGUGGCGAAGGCGGCUCACUGGCCAGGUACUGACGCUGAGGUGCGAAAGCGUGUGGAGCAAACAGG